UUCCACGUGUGAAGUAGCUUGGUUUC
Molecule: non-coding RNA, 26 nt
Filed under: Homo sapiens (human)
Lineage: Eukaryota; Metazoa; Chordata; Mammalia; Primates; Hominidae
Source: RNAcentral